UGAGGCUUGGUGUAAGAUGCACAUAGAUUUUUGAAUUCUAUAGUUUAAGUUUAAUUCUUAAAGUUUCAA
RNAcentral lists this transfer RNA (69 nucleotides) under Psammotettix sp. EMHAU-2015-Zz060503. Its description in RNAcentral is "tRNA-Gln". It matches the Rfam family "tRNA". Rfam says of the family: Transfer RNA (tRNA) molecules are approximately 80 nucleotides in length. Their secondary structure includes four short double-helical elements and three loops (D, anti-codon, and T loops). The record is from RNAcentral. Lineage: Eukaryota; Metazoa; Arthropoda; Insecta; Hemiptera; Cicadellidae.